Triticum aestivum (bread wheat) is the source of this 74-nucleotide non-coding RNA. Lineage: Eukaryota; Viridiplantae; Streptophyta; Magnoliopsida; Poales; Poaceae. The record is from Rfam.
GCAUCCAUGGCUGAAUGGUUAAAGCGCCCAACUCAUAAUUGGUAAACUUGCGGGUCCAAUUUCUGCUGGAUACA